CUCAACGUGAUUGCUCUUCUCUGCUGGGAAACCAUAUUUCUUGUCCAGAAAGUGUCUCCAGGCUACUCUGAGACAGCGUGGGAGGUGAGCAGAAUGGCAGGCAGUGUGGAAGCUGUUUGCAUCUUGGCCCUGUGGCCUCUGCUCAGUGAGCCAGAAGGAGCUGCAUGCAUCAGUGGGAAGAAAUAUUGAAUUACUUCUAAGAAAAGUAUGGGAGAAAUUAGUGGACAAGACGCUGUGGUGACUACGAUGCUGUCAUGGACCCUCAAGAUGGAAACAGACUGGAUUCCUGACAGGAAGGCAGCUUCUCCUGAGAGCCCUUUCACCUGCACACGUUUUUAGGGAAUGGAUAAGAAAUUCUGUCAAUAAGCUUCUGGGAUUUGGGGGUUACUGUGUUAACCCAGUAUAAACUAGCCUAUUUCAUAAAUGUAAAAAUAUAGGAUUUCAACUGAUUACUAUGUAAGAAGGAAUAAAAUAAAGAUGACUAUUAUUUUAGGUAAAACA
RNAcentral lists this long non-coding RNA (501 nucleotides) under Sus scrofa (pig). RNAcentral's name for it is "lncRNA (ENSSSCG00065008680.1)". Lineage: Eukaryota; Metazoa; Chordata; Mammalia; Artiodactyla; Suidae. The record is from RNAcentral.